This 29-nucleotide non-coding RNA is filed under the name Mus musculus (house mouse). The record is from RNAcentral. Lineage: Eukaryota; Metazoa; Chordata; Mammalia; Rodentia; Muridae.
UCAUAUGUAUGAAUGGUCACUCUCCUCCC